GGAUUAUGGCUCAGUGAUAGAGCAUUCGCCUAACGCAUGUGGGACCUGGGUUCGAUUCUCAGCACCA
Molecule: transfer RNA, 67 nt
Filed under: Marmota monax (woodchuck)
Lineage: Eukaryota; Metazoa; Chordata; Mammalia; Rodentia; Sciuridae
Description: tRNA.Val
Source: RNAcentral